Molecule: long non-coding RNA, 775 nt
Organism: Selaginella moellendorffii
Lineage: Eukaryota; Viridiplantae; Streptophyta; Lycopodiopsida; Selaginellales; Selaginellaceae
Exons: 4
Source: RefSeq, a predicted model, not a curated record
CGAUCUUGAGAAACAUCAGCAAUGCCGAGGUAGAAUCGAAGCUGGAAGCCGUGAGAGGACUGUGGCAGCGGUUUGUGUACCGUGAUGCGAUCUUGCUAGAGGCAAGGAGGCAAACGAAGGAUUGGAAUCACUACCAGGAUUGGGCUCAGCAAUACGAGACGUUGCUCGAAGACGAUGUCUUUGCAACAGUGAUACAAGCAUUGCAUUACAAGCUUCACAACGAUCCAUGGCGAGCAAAGCUCCCGAAAAGAGAGUGGGGAAUCCCACCAAGUUGCGGUAUCAAUCGCGCGUGACAAACUUUUUUUGUUCUCUCAGAGAAGACCCAAAGAAGGAAUUUUUACAUGACACGUUUUUAGGGCUUCUAUGUUCUUCGAUCUUAAUGUUUACGGUGAUGGCAGCCGAGGCGGGGAGCGCUGGCAGCUGGGAUACACCGGCGUCGAAAUUCCUCACAUUGUCAAGGCCGUGAUGCGCGAGGAGUGCCGACUCGCGGCAUUGCCUGAGUCUCCAACAAGAUCCCAUUCCGGCAGUACUCGAGAAUCAGAGUCGUGGUCGUGGAUCAAGUGCGAGCUGGCGGCUCUCAAUCCUUCCAAUCCCGUGAUUCAAUUUUAUGAUAUGGUUGCUGUCCAGCCGAUGAACCAGCAAGCGUUUGCUCAAGCUUGCACGACCAUGGAGCUUGAAGAAGUUGUCUUUGAGGAUCAAAUCUUCUCCCUUGACAUAUAGCCUUUCUUAGUCAAUCUAUACCUGGAAUAUUCAAUUAUACUCAAUCAAGGUUUAA